Molecule: non-coding RNA, 536 nt
Organism: Pelobates cultripes (western spadefoot toad)
Lineage: Eukaryota; Metazoa; Chordata; Amphibia; Anura; Pelobatidae
Source: the annotation of a GenBank genome assembly
UUUUGCUCAGGUUUAGAACAUUUAUGCCUCGCUUCAGGCUCUGAUUGCACAGUGUGCAAACCACUCGUGUCUUGUCGUCAGCACAUCGUCUGAAGAACUGCCAUGCCAGGGAACUCCUUGGAGCUGACUUUGGUGUGCUCGGUCCCUGGGUGCGGUGUGCAGUAGCAGGCGUACUGUCUAGAGGAUGGCUGCUCCGCUUUUGCACCCUGCUCUAGGAGGAGGAGGUGGAUGUGGAGUAGGAGUUUGAGGAGGCGGUGGCCGUGGCGGCGACUACGCAUUCGAAUGUCUGCCCUAUCAACUUUCGAUGUUACUUUCUGCGCCUACCAUGGUGACCACGGGUAACAGGGAUUCAGGGUUCGAUUCCAGAGAGGGAGGCUGAGAAAAGGCUACCACAUGCAAGGAAGGCAGCAGGCGCGCAAAUUACCCACUCCCGACGCGGGUAGGUAGUGAUGAUAAAUAACAAUACAGGACUCUUUCCAGGCCCUGUAAUUGGAAUGAGUACACAUAUGAGGCGGUGAGCGGGAAGGCCGAAGUUA